GAUGAACGCUGGCUACAGGCUUAACACAUGCAAGUCGAGGGGAAACGCCAUCGUAAGCUUGCUUUUGAUGGGCGUCGACCGGCGCACGGGUGAGUAACGCGUAUCCAACCUGCCCAUCACUUGGGAAUAACCUUGCGAAAGUAAGACUAAUACCCAAUGACAUCCCACGAAGACAUCUGAAUGGGAUUAAAGAUUUAUCGGUGAUGGAUGGGGAUGCGUCUGAUUAGCUUGUUGGCGGGGUAACGGCCCACCAAGGCAACGAUCAGUAGGGGUUCUGAGAGGAAGGUCCCCCACAUUGGAACUGAGACACGGUCCAAACUCCUACGGGAGGCAGCAGUGAGGAAAAGUGGUCAAUGGGCGAGAGCCUGAACCAGCCAAGUAGCGUGCAGGAGGACGGCCCUAUGGGUUGUAAACUGCUUUUAUAAGGGAAUAAAGUGGGUCGCGGGAGACGUUUUGCAGGUACCUUAUGAAUAAGGACCGGCUAAUUCCGUG
Molecule: ribosomal RNA, 492 nt
Filed under: uncultured bacterium
Lineage: Bacteria
Description: partial 16S ribosomal RNA
Rfam family: Bacterial small subunit ribosomal RNA
Source: RNAcentral